This 944-nucleotide ribosomal RNA is filed under the name Thysanozoon brocchii. RNAcentral's name for it is "partial large subunit ribosomal RNA". It matches the Rfam family "Eukaryotic large subunit ribosomal RNA", at positions 104 to 856 of the family's 3401-position model. The record is from RNAcentral. Lineage: Eukaryota; Metazoa; Platyhelminthes; Polycladida; Pseudocerotidae.
AUAGCCCAGCACCGAAUCCUUCACCAUUUUGGGUGACAGGAAAUGUGGUGUUUAGGCCGUACCUUGUCCCGACACGUCUCUCCUCAAGUCCACUUGAUUGUGGCCCCAGGCCCAGAGAGGGUGUAAGGCCCGUGGAGGCGAGAUGUUCGGUACCUGGUGCGUCCUUAGAGUCGGGUUGUUUGGGAAUGCAGCCCUAAGCGGGUGGUAAACUCCAUCCAAGGCUAAAUACUAGCACGAGUCCGAUAGCGAAGAAGUACCGCGAGGGAAGGUUGAAAAGAACUUUGAAGAGAGAGUUCAAGAGUACGUGAAACCGCUGAGAGGCAAACUGGUGGAACUGAAAUGGUCCCGAGGAAUUCAGCCGUUGGAGGUUGCACAGUCGGUGGUGAUUGAUUUAACGACAGCGCCAUCGGAUGACGUUUCCAUCAUCGGUGCACUUUCCUCGUUUGGGCCCGACCACGACCGGUGAGUUGAUCUGUCUGUCGUGCUUGGAAGAUAGCGCCAUCUUCGGAAGGCGUGUUAUAGACUUGCAUACGGUACAGUCGACGCACUGGAUGAAAAUGCCUGCCCAUUUGGGCUCAUAUGGCGGCUGUUUUAUCGUCGAGUGCCGAUGUCACUACUUCGGUAGAGUCGUUGGCCUCUGAUGGCAUUAUGGUUGUCCUCUAUGAUUGGCAUUGUUAAGUCUGUGGUUGUGAAGUAGGUAGUCCACCUGACCCGUCUUGAAACACGGACCAAGGAGUCUAACAUGUGCGCGAGUCAUUGGGUUCACGAAACCUAAAGGCGCAGUGAAGGUAAAGAUCUGUUUUGGCAGAUUGAGGUGGGAUGCUGGGUUACGCGCCCAGCCGCACUACCGGCCCGUUCUAUAUGUAUCUCAUAGGAGCGGAGCAAGAGCGUACACGUUGGGACCCGAAAGAUGGUGAACUAUGCUUGCGCAGGUCGAAGCCAGA